GGUGGUUUAGCCUAGCGGACGUGGUCUCCUGCCGGUGACACGAAGGUUGGUGGAUGGAAUCCACCAACCUUCG
Dallia pectoralis (Alaska blackfish) is the source of this 73-nucleotide non-coding RNA. The record is from the annotation of a GenBank genome assembly. NCBI's taxonomy places the organism in Eukaryota, Metazoa, Chordata, Actinopteri, Esociformes, Umbridae.